UUCGGCAGUCCAAUGGACAAGGCCAAGUACAAGAACGUUAUACACGCUUGCUCACUGAAACGGGACUUGGAGCUCUUCUCACAUGGUGAUCAGACCAUUAUCGGUGACAGAGGCAUAAACCUCAGCGGUGGUCAGAAGCAGAGAGUUCAGCUAGCGAGAGCGCUUUACCAGGAUGCUGAUGUUUAUCUGCUGGACGACCCUUUCAGUGCUGUUGACGCUCACACUGGCUCCGAACUCUUCAAGGUGCACUCUUUUUUAUUUUCUACUUCUUUCCAAAUAAACAAACAACUACCUUUUUUAAACACUGCCUUGCGUUGAAUGUGUCUCCCUACUUCACAAGCUUGAGUUUGCGUAUCUACAGGAAUACAUAUUGACGGCUCUGGCAGACAAGACUGUGAUAUUUGUAACUCAUCAAGUCGAGUUUCUUCCUACCACGGAUCUUAUAUUGGUGAGGACUUCUUCGGCAUGGCUCAAUCUUAUACCAAGAAAGCACUUCAUGAAAUUUUUGUGUUUAUCUGCAGGUCCUUAGGGAUGGCCAAAUUAUACAGUCAGGUAAGUAUGAGGAACUGCUACAAGCAGGAACGGAUUUCUUAUCACUUGUGUCUGCUCAUCAUGAAGCAAUUGAAGCAAUGGACAUUCCAAGCCAUUCAUCAGAGGACUCUGAUAGCCAUCAUGGGAUAGACCAGUCAUUGCCACACAAUCCAAAAUCCAACGCUUCCUCGAGCAACAUUGAGAUUCUGGCCAAGGAGGUCCAAGAAGGGCCGUCGGGGUCUAACCAGAAAGCCACCAAAGAGAAAAAGAAAGCGAAACGGCUAAGGAAGAAACAACUGGUUCAGGACGAGGAACGUGUCCGGGGACGAGUCAGUAUGAAGGUGUACUGGUCAUAUAUGGCUGCAGCCUAUAAAGGGCUGUUGAUUCCGCUCAUAAUCAUUGCGCAGACUCUGUUUCAGUUCCUUCAGAUUGCAAGUAACUGGUGGAUGGCCUGGGCAAAUCCGCAAACAGAGGGAGACCAAGCUAAAGUGAGCUCCACGGUCCUUCUCCUUGUAUUUAUUGCGCUAGCGUUUGGUAGCUCAGUAUUUAUCUUUGUCCGAGCGAUUCUGGUCGCCACGUUCGGCCUCGUAGCUGCUCAGAAGCUGUUUCUGAACAUGCUCAGGAGUGUUUUCCGCGCGCCAAUGUCGUUUUUCGACUCGACUCCUGCUGGAAGGAUCUUAAAUCGGGUUGGUUCUCUUUUUUUUAAAUUUAUUAGAACAUGACUGUGACGUCUUCUCUUCAUGAUGGUCUUUCUCAUUGCUAUUUUAGGUGUCCAUUGAUCAAAGCGUGGUGGAUCUUGAUAUUCCUUUUAGGCUCGGAGGAUUUGCAUCAACAACAAUACAGCUCAUUGGCAUUGUUGGUGUGAUGACAAACGUUACAUGGCAAGUGUUUCUUCUUGUAAUUCCAACUGGCAUUGCUUGCUUGUGGAUGCAGGUGAUUUCUGGUUAAUUUCUGAAGAUUCGUUUUUAUGAUACUUAAAAGGGAUACAAUAAAUUCAAAGUAUUUGACUUAUUUCUCUUGGUAUUACACGUUUUAACAGCAAAGUUUUUUUUUUGGUUUUUUGCAUUUGAAAAACGCAGAAAUACUACAUGGCAUCGUCUAGAGAGCUGGUUCGGAUAGUGAGCAUACAGAAAUCUCCAAUAAUCCAUCUAUUUGGGGAGUCAAUCGCGGGUGCAGCAACAAUCAGAGGGUUUGGCCAAGAAAAGCGUUUCAUGAAGAGAAACCUCUAUUUACUGGACUGCUUUGCCCGCCCUUUCUUUUGCAGCAUCGCUGCUAUAGAAUGGCUCUGUUUACGCAUGGAGCUGCUUUCUACUUUCGUCUUUGCCUUCUGCAUGAUCCUGCUCGUUAGCUUUCCACAUGGAACAAUCGAUCCAAGCAAGUUCUUCUCUUCGUCCUCUUUACUCUAUAGAUCGUUAGAAGGCUAUCUAUCAUGUUUACUGAGUUCAUCAUAUAUAUUACCUUUUUGUAUUAGGCAUGGCUGGUCUUGCAGUAACGUAUGGCCUUAAUUUAAACGCUCGCCUUUCCCGGUGGAUACUUAGCUUUUGUAAGCUCGAGAACAAAAUCAUCUCCAUCGAAAGAAUCUAUCAGUAUAGUCAGAUUCCCAGUGAAGCCCCUACGUUCAUCGAGGACGCUCACCCUCCUCCUUCGUGGCCAGAAAAUGGAGCCAUUGAGAUCAACAAUUUGAAGGUACAUUUCGAAUUGUUCAUUCUGUUGAACUUGUCGCUAUAGCUUUUUAUUCAUCCUCCUCCUUUGCUUAAAAGGUUCGCUAUGGAGAAAAUCUGCCAACUGUACUCCACGGAGUCAACUGUGUAUUCCCUGGUGGCAAGAAGAUUGGGAUUGUGGGGCGCACAGGAAGUGGCAAAUCAACGCUGAUCCAAGCGCUGUUCAGGCUGAUAGAGCCAUAUGCAGGACAAAUAAUCAUUGAUGGCAUCGAUAUCUCCUCCAUUGGCCUUCACGACCUCCGUGGCCGUCUCAGCAUCAUUCCCCAAGACCCCACCUUGUUUGAAGGCACUAUUCGAGGAAACCUCGACCCUCUCGAAGAACACACUGAUCAAGAAGUUUGGCAGGCUCUAGAUAAGUCACAGUUGGGGGACAUAGUUCGUGCGAAAGACCAGAAGCUCGAUACUCCAGGUAUAUAGUAAAUCUUGACGUUAGAUUGAGAAGUAAGAAAAAGAAUGCUUGUGAACGGCUCGAACCAUUUGUCUUCACAUGUUGUUGGGAACUUUGUUUCAGCUCCUGCUCUGGCUUUCCUCUGCUUCGUGGCUCUCAGAGGUGUAUCAGGUCUUCGAGUUAUUACUACACAUUCACAUCUUCUUGACCCUCUGCUUGUCGAAGAUGAAGAAGAAGAAGAAGAGAAAGCUGGGUGUCUCAGUGUUACUUCCUAUAGUGACGCCGGGUUGUUCAGCCUCGCUACGCUUUCGUGGCUGAAUCCUCUCCUCUCUCUUGGCGCCAAGAGGCCGUUGGAUCUCAAGGACAUUCCUCUGCUCGCUCCCAAAGACCGGGCAAAGACCAACUACAGAAUCUUGAACUUUAACUGGGAGAAGUUAAAGGCUGAGAAUCCCUCGAAACCGCCUUCUCUCGCUUGGGCCAUCUUGAAGUCGUUUUGGAAAGAAGCGGCUUGUAAUGCAGUCUUUGCUGGCUUGAACACUCUUGUUUCUUAUGUGGGUCCUUAUUUGGUGAAUGACUUUGUUAAUUAUCUGGGUGGGAAAGAGACUUACCCUCACGAGGGUUACAUCCUCGCUGGUAUCUUCUUUGCGGCCAAACUCGCAGAGACUUUGACAACCCGGCAGUGGUAUCUUGGUGUGGAUAUCUUGGGGAUGCAUGUCAGAUCAGCUCUAACGGCUAUGGUGUACAGAAAAGGGCUCAAACUCUCGAGUAUAACCAAGCAGAACCACACGAGCGGCGAGAUUGUGAACUACAUGGCCGUUGAUGUCCAGAGAGUAGGUGACUACUCUUGGUACCUUCAUGAUAUGUGGAUGCUUCCUCUACAGAUUGUACUUGCUCUCGGGAUCUUGUACAGGAGUGUGGGAAUGGCGGCUGUAGCUACGUUGGCGGCCACAGUUUUCUCUAUUAUCGCCACCAUCCCAUUGGCCAAAGUCCAAGAGGACUAUCAAGACAAAUUGAUGUCUGCUAAAGAUGAGCGGAUGAGGAAGACUUCGGAGUGUUUGAGGAACAUGAGGAUUCUGAAACUGCAGGCUUGGGAGGAUCGGUACAGGGUCGUGCUUGAGGGAAUGAGGAGCACGGAGUUCAAAUGGCUUCGAAAGGCUUUAUACUCCCAAGCGUUUAUCACGUUUAUAUUCUGGAGUUCGCCUAUCUUCGUAGCUGCAAUCACGUUUGCUACGGCCAUAGGCCUAGGAACUCAGCUCACUGCAGGAGGCGUUCUCUCUGCGCUUGCAACGUUCAGGAUUCUUCAGGAGCCGCUUAGGAAUUUUCCUGAUCUGGUGUCAAUGAUGGCUCAGACUAAAGUGUCUCUUGAUCGUAUAUCGGGGUUUCUGCAAGAGGAAGAGCUCCAGGAAGACGCUACGAUAAUCCUUUCUCAAGGUAUGACAGAGACAUCUGUGGAGAUCAAAGACGGUUGUUUCUCUUGGGAUCCUUCGUGGGUAAGGCCAACUUUGUUUGAUAUUCAUCUAAACGUCAAGAGAGGAAUGCGAGUAGCUGUUUGCGGAGUCGUCGGUUCCGGAAAAUCAAGUUUUCUUUCUUGUAUACUUGGAGAAAUACCUAAAAUCUCGGGUGAAGUAAGUGAAACACUUGAACAACUUUCGAAACAUGUGUGUCUGUCUUCAAUAUUUUUCAGGCCUAAUCAAAUUUGACGAGUUGUACACUGAAAUACACAGGUCAGAAUAUGCGGUAGUGCUGCUUAUGUUUCACAAUCCGCAUGGAUCCAGUCUGGGAAUAUAGAAGAAAAUAUUCUCUUCGGCAGUCCAAUGGACAAGGCCAAGUACAAGAACGUUAUACACGCUUGCUCACUGAAACGGGACUUGGAGCUCUUCUCACAUGGUGAUCAGACCAUUAUCGGUGACAGAGGCAUAAACCUCAGCGGUGGUCAGAAGCAGAGAGUUCAGCUAGCGAGAGCGCUUUACCAGGAUGCUGAUGUAUAUCUGCUAGACGACCCUUUCAGCGCUGUUGACGCUCACACUGGCUCCGAACUCUUCAAG
Molecule: long non-coding RNA, 4685 nt
Filed under: Brassica napus (rape)
Lineage: Eukaryota; Viridiplantae; Streptophyta; Magnoliopsida; Brassicales; Brassicaceae
Description: long non-coding RNA (BNAP_LNC007446)
Source: RNAcentral